UACGUAGGGGCCAAGCGUUGUCCGGAUUUAUUGGGCGUAAAGAGCUCGUAGGCGGCUUGUCACGUCGGAUGUGAAAGCCCGGGGCUUAACCCCGGGUCUGCAUUCGAUACGGGCAGGCUAGAGUUCGGUAGGGGAGACUGGAAUUCCUGGUGUAGCGGUGAAAUGCGCAGAUAUCAGGAGGAACACCGGUGGCGAAGGCGGGUCUCUGGGCCGAUACUGACGCUGAGGAGCGAAAGCGUGGGGAGCGAACAGG
RNAcentral lists this ribosomal RNA (253 nucleotides) under uncultured bacterium. RNAcentral describes it as "partial 16S ribosomal RNA". It matches the Rfam family "Bacterial small subunit ribosomal RNA", at positions 524 to 776 of the family's 1533-position model. The record is from RNAcentral.